RNAcentral lists this long non-coding RNA (1330 nucleotides) under Pogona vitticeps (central bearded dragon). RNAcentral describes it as "lncRNA (ENSPVIG00000004332.1)". The record is from RNAcentral. Lineage: Eukaryota; Metazoa; Chordata; Lepidosauria; Squamata; Agamidae.
AUGGGGGCAACGGGCGUCAGGGCGUCUCACCGCUGUCAAACACCAGCGGCAAAUUUGGACUGUUUCCAAAAACCCACUAUGCAAUGCUGUGAGGUCAGAGCAGAGAGUGAGCCGUCCCCUCGCGGACAAGACACAGAACAGACGAAAGGAAUAAUAACAGCUGGAAAGGAAACAGAAGUAGAACAGGGAAAAGAUCAAGUGAGUGAUACACGCGAGGAGGAAGAAAAGGAGAGAAGCCGCGUGGAGGAACAAGAGACAGAGAGAGAGAGAGGUGUAAGGAAAGGCGAGAGAGAAGGCACGUGGAAGAGCGAGAGGCAGGGAGAAAGAUAGGGUGGCGUGAAGAAAGCGAACCAUUGGAGCAGUUAGGAGAAAGAGAGAGAGCGAGAAGGGGGUAUCGUAGGGAUGACAGAGAGAGGGAGAUGUGUUCUUAACAACAGAGGAAGGAAACACAUCUACAGAUACAGAAAAGGUCUCUGUAUUUGAUGAAACUAUUAUAGUGCCAGUCCCCAAGCAGUCAGCUGUGGUAUCUCUCAAUGACUAUAGACCAGUAGCUUUAACAUCUGUUAUUAUGAAAUGUUUUGAGAGAUUGGUGCUGGAUUACAUUAAGGCUAGACUUCCACCUUCUUUGGACCAAUGACAAUUUGCAUACAGGAAAAAUAGAUCUACUGAUGAUGCUGUGUCCAUUGUACAGUACUCCAUUCUGUAUUGAGCCAGUUAGAACAACAGGGAACUUAUGCGAGGCUGUUGUUUGUGGAUUAUAGUUCUGCUUUUAAUACCAUUCUACCAAAUAGGUUGUUUUUCAAAAUGAUCAACCUGCUGUUUGCUUGGUGCACAAGACUCUGGGCACCGUGUCGUGACAUUGCCAGCAUGGCUUCCAGCAGACAAAGAGAUCAUCGAUCCCAAGCGGACUAGUUGCAACCACACCUUCCAGGGCUCCCUGCAGAGAGAUCACAGGAGGCAUCCCUUUCAUUCCAGCUGUGUGCACCUCUGUCUGAAGAUUACAGGUCCCACACGCUUAGCUCCAUGCAUUGGGGGGGGUGGGGGUUGUUAGAACCAGAACAAACCCAUGGGGAAGAUCUGCUCAUUCCCUCCAUCACCUGCUUCACUUCUAACGGGACCUCUGCUUGUCAGAGAUUUUGGGAAAGUUGCCCGGAGCCGUCUGAAUGAGCCGCACACUCAAGAUGGGACCGGAAAGUGCUUACCUGUAGCUCUGAUGUCUCAGUAAUGGGUACAGUAAUCUGGUGCCAGCUGGGGCCCUGGCCCCCCUUCAUAGACCACACCUUGUGCCAUUCCGAAGAAUUCAGCAGCUUUAUAUAGAAGUUUAUUUCAC